CAUGCAGUCGAACGAUGAACCACCUUCGGGUGGGGAUUAGUGGCGAACGGGUGAGUAACACGUGGGCAAUCUGCCCUGCACUCUGGGACAAGCCCUGGAAACGGGGUCUAAUACCGGAUACUGAACCGCUUGGGCAUCCAGGCGGUUCGAAAGCUCCGGCGGUGCAGGAUGAGCCCGCGGCCUAUCAGCUUGUUGGUGAGGUAACGGCUCACCAAGGCGACGACGGGUAGCCGGCCUGAGAGGGCGACCGGCCACACUGGGACUGAGACACGGCCCAGACUCCUACGGGAGGCAGCAGUGGGGAAUAUUGCACAAUGGGCGAAAGCCUGAUGCAGCGACGCCGCGUGAGGGAUGACGGCCUUCGGGUUGUAAACCUCUUUCAGCAGGGAAGAAGCGAAAGUGACGGUACCUGCAGAAGAAGCGCCGGCUAACUACGUGCCAGCAGCCGCGGUAAUACGUAGGGCGCGAGCGUUGUCCGGAAUUAUUGGGCGUAAAGAGCUCGUAGGCGGCUUGUCGCGUCGGUUGUGAAAGCCCGGGGCUUAACCCCGGGUCUGCAGUCGAUACGGGCAGGCUAGAGUUCGGUAGGGGAGAUCGGAAUUCCUGGUGUAGCGGUGAAAUGCGCAGAUAUCAGGAGGAACACCGGUGGCGAAGGCGGAUCUCUGGGCCGAUACUGACGCUGAGGAGCGAAAGCGUGGGGAGCGAACAGGAUUAGAUACCCUGGUAGUCCACGCCGUAAACGGUGGGCACUAGGUGUGGGCGACAUUCCACGUCGUCCGUGCCGCAGCUAACGCAUUAAGUGCCCCGCCUGGGGAGUACGGCCGCAAGGCUAAAACUCAAAGGAAUUGAC
This 847-nucleotide ribosomal RNA is filed under the name actinobacterium CT3a. RNAcentral's name for it is "bacterial SSU rRNA". It matches the Rfam family "Bacterial small subunit ribosomal RNA", at positions 54 to 914 of the family's 1533-position model. The record is from RNAcentral. Lineage: Bacteria; Bacillati; Actinomycetota; Actinomycetes.